UAAGCAGGCUCACCGGAAACACCGCAGGCUCAGCUGAUUUGGCUGAACCGGCUUCACUCCAUUCCGUGAAUCUAAGUUACCAUGGCAGUUUGUUGUUGACCAUCCCCCUUGAACCCUUGACCCACUACUAUACCCAUCUGAUUUGUAGACCAGGAGACAGGAGAUGGGCAGUCAAUUAUGGCAAGACAAAACAUUAUUUUUUGGCAAACUUAUAAUAAAUAAAAAUACUUUAAAAAAU
Molecule: long non-coding RNA, 238 nt
Organism: Trichomycterus rosablanca
Lineage: Eukaryota; Metazoa; Chordata; Actinopteri; Siluriformes; Trichomycteridae
Exons: 3
Source: RefSeq, a predicted model, not a curated record